GCUUUAGACCUCAAAUCAGGCAGGACUACCCGCUGAACUUAAGCAU
This 46-nucleotide ribosomal RNA is filed under the name Symmetrospora suhii. Its description in RNAcentral is "partial 28S ribosomal RNA". The record is from RNAcentral. Lineage: Eukaryota; Fungi; Basidiomycota; Cystobasidiomycetes; Symmetrosporaceae.